GGCAUUGUAUUGAGGUGAAGGAGGGCUGUAAGAAGAUGCUGCUUGGGUCGGGUACGCCUGUUGAGCAGGUGGUGAGUAGGAAGGAGCAGGUGGGCUGUAUUGAGGAGCUG
Daphnia pulicaria is the source of this 110-nucleotide long non-coding RNA. RefSeq lists it as uncharacterized. Lineage: Eukaryota; Metazoa; Arthropoda; Branchiopoda; Diplostraca; Daphniidae. The transcript is spliced from 2 exons. The record is from RefSeq and is a predicted model, not a curated record.